Physcomitrium patens is the source of this 721-nucleotide non-coding RNA. Lineage: Eukaryota; Viridiplantae; Streptophyta; Bryopsida; Funariales; Funariaceae. The record is from RefSeq and is a predicted model, not a curated record.
UUUCACAUCUUCACGAGCUCCAAGUGCUCCAAAACUGUUUUUUCUUCCUUCGAUUGGUGUGUAGGGUGAGCUCCGUAUGAAUCGGAGUCUGCGGCUCUCUAUCUCUACUAGGCGUGUGCAGUGGUGUUGCAUUUGGGAGGGCUGCUUGGGAGCAGAAUCGUGCUCGGUUGUGGUGGCUGGUAUUUUGCGACUGACCUGGUGGCAGGCAAUGGCGGUAAUUAUCACUAUCACAGCGCCUUCGCUGAAAUUAUCUUGUGACCCAGAAUUGGGCACAAGUCAUUGAGAAGAACGAUUUUGUCAUGGUGCACUAAAAACUAGUUACAACUCUUCUCUGCAAGGAAAGUCCUCUCGAUUGCAGCUGACUCAAGAAGUUCCCCAAUAAGGUCACGCCCUGGUGGUCUCCAUUUUUACUUCAGCUGGACAUGCAAACCAAGUCAAUACAGUUCAUAUUAUGGGCAAUAUAAUUUUCACCAAACCGUCGUUGCUGUUCACGACCAAGUGCUCCCACAAGAAUACAUCCAGAAGAUGUUGUAGGAACUGUUCUUGUAGGCUGUAAAUGAUACGUUGAGGUUCUUAUUCUUGUUGCUAUUUAUCAAUCUUGUUGUAGAUUGCUAGCUGUGCAUUGGAAGAGCGUGCUGGAAUAAAUAAACAUCAAAGAGGGAAUGCACUUUCCCUCUCUACAAUCUUGCUGUUGUUCGAUGAGCCAUGCAACCAACUUGCG